RNAcentral lists this ribosomal RNA (468 nucleotides) under uncultured bacterium. RNAcentral's name for it is "partial 16S ribosomal RNA". It matches the Rfam family "Bacterial small subunit ribosomal RNA", at positions 28 to 507 of the family's 1533-position model. The record is from RNAcentral.
GACGAACGCUGGCGGCGUGCUUAAUACAUGCAAGUCGAGCGGAAAGGCCAUGGUUUUGUGGGGUGCUCGAGUGGCGAAGGGGUGAGUGACACGUGAGUAACCUGCCCUUGACUUUGGGAUAACUUCAGGAAACUUGGGAUAAUACCGGAUAGGAGCUCCUGCUGCAUGGUGGGGGUUGGAAAGAUUCGGCGGUGCGGUAUGGACUCGCGGCUUAUGAGCUUCUUGGUGAGGUAGUGUAUUUCAGCGGCUUUGACGGGUAGCCGGCCUGAGAGGGUGACCGGCCACAUUGGGACUGAGAUAGCACCCAGACUGCUACGGGAGGCAUCAGUGGGAAACAUUGCACACUGGGCGGAAGCCUUAUGGAGCAACGCCGCGUGCUGGAUCACGGCCUUCGGGUUGUAAACCGCUUUCGCCUGUGACGAAGCGUGAGUGACGGUAAUGUGUCAAGAAGCACCGGCUAACUACGUG